GACGAACGCUGGCGGCGUGCCUACUACAUGCAAGUAGGACGCAGUUGCGAACGGGUGAGUAACGCGUAGGUAACUGCCUCUUAGUGGGGGAUAACUAUUGGAAACGAUAGCUAAUACCGCAUACUAGUAGAUGGACCUGCGUUGUAUUAGCUAGUAGGUAGGGUAAUGGCCUACCUAGGCGACGAUACAUAGCCGACCUUGUCGGUGGAUCGGCCACACUGGGACUUAGACACGGCCCAGACUCCGUCGGGAGGCAGCAGUAGGGAAUCUUCGGCCAUGGGGUGAACCCUGACCGAGCACCGCCGCGUGAGUGAAGAAGGUUUUCGGAUCGUAAAGCUCUGUUGUUAAGGAAGCGGUACUUAACCAGAAAGGGCCGGCUAACUACGUGCCAGCAGCCGCGGUAAUUC
Molecule: ribosomal RNA, 407 nt
Filed under: uncultured bacterium
Lineage: Bacteria
Description: partial 16S ribosomal RNA
Rfam family: Bacterial small subunit ribosomal RNA
Source: RNAcentral